GACGAACGCUGGCGGCGUGCUUAACACAUGCAAGUCGAACGGAAAGGCCCUGCUUUUGUGGGGUGCUCGAGUGGCGAACGGGUGAGUAACACGUGAGUAACCUGCCCUUGACUUUGGGAUAACUUCAGGAAACUGGGGCUAAUACCGGAUAGGAGCUCCUGCUGCAUGGUGGGGGUUGGAAAGUUUCGGCGGUUGGGGAUGGACUCGCGGCUUAUCAGCUUGUUGGUGGGGUAGUGGCUUACCAAGGCUUUGACGGGUAGCCGGCCUGGGCGGGUGACCGGCCACAUUGGGACUGGGAUACGGCCCAGACUCCUACGGGAGGCAGCAGUGGGGAAUAUUGCACAAUGGGCGGAAGCCUGAUGCAGCAACGCCGCGUGCGGGAUGACGGCCUUCGGGUUGUAAACCGCUUUCGCCUGUGACGAAGCGUGAGUGACGGUAAUGGGUAAAGAAGCACCGGCUAACUACGUG
Molecule: ribosomal RNA, 468 nt
Filed under: uncultured bacterium
Lineage: Bacteria
Description: partial 16S ribosomal RNA
Rfam family: Bacterial small subunit ribosomal RNA
Source: RNAcentral